This 253-nucleotide ribosomal RNA is filed under the name uncultured bacterium. Its description in RNAcentral is "partial 16S ribosomal RNA". It matches the Rfam family "Bacterial small subunit ribosomal RNA", at positions 524 to 776 of the family's 1533-position model. The record is from RNAcentral.
UACGAGGGGGGCAAGCGUUGUUCGGAAUUAUUGGGCGUAAAGGGCGCGUAGGCGGUGCGGUAAGUCACCUGUGAAACCUCUGGGCUUAACUCAGAGCCUGCAGGCGAAACUGCCGUGCUGGAGUAUGGGAGAGGUGCGUGGAAUUCCCGGUGUAGCGGUGAAAUGCGUAGAGAUGUGGAGGAAUACCUGUGGCGAAAGCGGCUCACUGGACCGCAACUGACGCUGAGGCGCGAAAGCUAGGGGAGCAAACAGG